GACGAACGCUGGCGGCGUGCCUAAUACAUGCAAGUAGAACGCUGAAGGAGGAGCUUGCUUCUCCGGAUGAGUUGCGAACGGGUGAGUAACGCGUAGGUAACCUGCCUGGUAGCGGGGGAUAACUAUUGGAAACGAUAGCUAAUACCGCAUAAGAGUAGAUGUUGCAUGACAUUUGCUUAAAAGGUGCAAUUGCAUCACUACCAGAUGGACCUGCGUUGUAUUAGCUAGUUGGUGGGGUAACGGCUCACCAAGGCGACGAUACAUAGCCGACCUGAGAGGGUGAUCGGCCACACUGGGACUGAGACACGGCCCAGACUCCUACGGGAGGCAGCAGUAGGGAAUCUUCGGCAAUGGACGGAAGUCUGACCGAGCAACGCCGCGUGAGUGAAGAAGGUUUUCGGAUCGUAAAGCUCUGUUGUAAGAGAAGAACGAGUGUGAGAGUGGAAAGUUCACACUGUGACGGUAUCUUACCAGAAAGGGACGGCUAACUACGUGCCAGCAGCCGCGGUAAUACGUAGGUCCCGAGCGUUGUCCGGAUUUAUUGGGCGUAAAGCGAGCGCAGGCGGUUAGAUAAGUCUGAAGUUAAAGGCUGUGGCUUAACCAUAGUACGCUUUGGAAACUGUUUAACUUGAGUGCAAGAGGGGAGAGUGGAAUUCCAUGUGUAGCGGUGAAAUGCGUAGAUAUAUGGAGGAACACCGGUGGCGAAAGCGGCUCUCUGGCUUGUAACUGACGCUGAGGCUCGAAAGCGUGGGGAGCAAACAGG
This 763-nucleotide ribosomal RNA is filed under the name uncultured Streptococcus sp. RNAcentral describes it as "bacterial SSU rRNA". It matches the Rfam family "Bacterial small subunit ribosomal RNA", at positions 28 to 776 of the family's 1533-position model. Lineage: Bacteria; Bacillati; Bacillota; Bacilli; Lactobacillales; Streptococcaceae. RNAcentral also lists the same sequence under 1 other name. The record is from RNAcentral.